UACGAAGGGAGCUAGCGUUGUUCGGAAUCACUGGGCGUAAAGCGCACGUAGGCGGAUGUGUCAGUCAGGGGUGAAAUCCCGGAGCUCAACUUCGGAACUGCCUUUGAUACAGCACGUCUUGAGUCCGAUAGAGGUGGGUGGAAUUCCUAGUGUAGAGGUGAAAUUCGUAGAUAUUAGGAAGAACACCGGUGGCGAAGGCGGCCCACUGGAGCGGUACUGACGCUGAGGAGCGAAAGCGUGGGUAGCAAACAGG
RNAcentral lists this ribosomal RNA (253 nucleotides) under uncultured bacterium. RNAcentral describes it as "partial 16S ribosomal RNA". It matches the Rfam family "Bacterial small subunit ribosomal RNA", at positions 524 to 776 of the family's 1533-position model. The record is from RNAcentral.